This 255-nucleotide ribosomal RNA is filed under the name bacterium enrichment culture clone ALO1_GLFRUDD03GKMDZ. RNAcentral describes it as "partial 16S ribosomal RNA". It matches the Rfam family "Bacterial small subunit ribosomal RNA", at positions 9 to 263 of the family's 1533-position model. The record is from RNAcentral.
GAGUUUGAUCAUGGCUCAGAUUGAACGCUGGCGGCAUGCCUUACACAUGCAAGUCGAACGGCAGCACGGGAGCUUGCUCCUGGGUGGCGAGUGGCGAACGGGUGAGUAAUGCAUCGGAACGUAUCCUGGAGUGGGGGAUAACGUAGCGAAAGUUACGCUAAUACCGCAUAUUCUGUGAGCAGGAAAGCGGGGGACCUUCGGGCCUCGCGCUCUUGGAGCGGCCGAUGUCGGAUUAGCUAGUUGGUGAGGUAAAGG